AGCGAACGCUGGCGGCAGGCUUAACACAUGCAAGUCGAGCGCUCGUAGCAAUACGAGAGCGGCAGACGGGAGAGUAACACGUGGGAACGUACCCUUUGGUUCGGAACAACACAGGGAAACUUGUGCUAAUACCGGAUAAGCCCUUACGGGGAAAGAUUUAUCGCCAAAGGAUCGGCCCGCGUCUGAUUAGCUAGUUGGUGGGGUAACGGCUCACCAAGGCGACGAUCAGUAGCUGGCUGAGAGGAUGACCAGCCUCAUUGGGACUGAGACACGGCCCAAACUCCUACGGGAGGCAGCAGUGGGGAAUAUUGCACAAUGGGCGGAAGCCUGAUGCAGCGACGCCGCGUGAGGGAUGACGGCCU
This 362-nucleotide ribosomal RNA is filed under the name uncultured bacterium. RNAcentral's name for it is "bacterial SSU rRNA". It matches the Rfam family "Bacterial small subunit ribosomal RNA", at positions 29 to 417 of the family's 1533-position model. The record is from RNAcentral.